UACGUAGGGUGCAAACGUUGUUCGGAAUUACUGGGCGUAAAGCGCGUGUAGGCGGCCCUGCAAGUCGGAUGUGAAAUCCCACGGCUCAACCGUGGAAGUGCAUUCGAAACUGCAGGGCUAGAGUCCUGGAGAGGAAGGUGGAAUGCUUGGUGUAGAGGUGAAAUUCGUAGAUAUCAAGCGGAACACCGGUGGCGAAGGCGGCCUUCUGGACAGUGACUGACGCUGAGACGCGAAAGCGUGGGGAGCAAACAGG
RNAcentral lists this ribosomal RNA (253 nucleotides) under uncultured bacterium. RNAcentral describes it as "partial 16S ribosomal RNA". It matches the Rfam family "Bacterial small subunit ribosomal RNA", at positions 524 to 776 of the family's 1533-position model. The record is from RNAcentral.